Molecule: long non-coding RNA, 415 nt
Filed under: Androctonus crassicauda
Lineage: Eukaryota; Metazoa; Arthropoda; Arachnida; Scorpiones; Buthidae
Source: RNAcentral
CAUUUACACAGUUUUUUAGCAGUACUUUUUAUGGAUUUUUUUUUAUUUAUAUCAAAAAAUCUUAACAUGUACAAAAAUAGUCUCAUCUUGUGCAUAAACAGUUAUAAUGCAUUUUCUUUUCCUCUAAUUGGACCACAGAUGGUUUAUUUUACCUGUACCCAAUACUUCACAUUCAUGUGCAAAGUAGGCUUGGCUGCAAUUUCCCGGGAAACAAGUGGCUGUUGUGUAGCAAUAAAAGUGCCAUGUUCCUUUAAUCUGUCAAGUGAUUUGCCAUUGAUAGAUCUCAAAGCCGCAGAACAGAAAAAAUAAUGAUGAACAAUAAAAAAGAAGUUAAAAAAAUAAACUCUGAUUUUAUUAAUCUAUUUUUUUUUUUUUUUUAAAUUGUUGAAAAUAUGCCCGAUUGACUGUGAGUCCC